Molecule: transfer RNA, 76 nt
Filed under: Klebsiella pneumoniae
Lineage: Bacteria; Pseudomonadati; Pseudomonadota; Gammaproteobacteria; Enterobacterales; Enterobacteriaceae
Description: tRNA-Lys
Rfam family: tRNA
About the family: Transfer RNA (tRNA) molecules are approximately 80 nucleotides in length.
Source: RNAcentral
AGGUCAAUAGCUCAGUUGGUAGAGCAGUUGACUUUUAAUCAAUUGGUCGCAGGUUCGAAUCCUGCACGACCCACCA